Molecule: non-coding RNA, 225 nt
Organism: Phascolarctos cinereus (koala)
Lineage: Eukaryota; Metazoa; Chordata; Mammalia; Diprotodontia; Phascolarctidae
Source: RefSeq, a predicted model, not a curated record
AAUUUACAAUGUUUGGUGAGAUGAGAAGCUUGAAGAAUAACUAACAAUCCAAGACAUGAACUGAUAACUGCUCAAUGAGGAAACUGAAGCUAAAAGAAGUUAGAAGACUUGCUCAAUAUUUCACAACUAGGAAGUGUCUGAGUAAAAUGGCUUUCAAGUUCCGUACUUUCAACUUACCAAAAAAAAAAAAAAAACGAAAACAACUUUUGGAAUGCUGAUCAUCAA